CCACGCUUAAGUUUCUGUACUGCUGUGAUUACUACUAAAUGUGGGAUCUCAAUUACAUGAUGGUAUGACUUGUUAUCUGAGCUUGAGAGUGAGUGAGUUUACCUUCACUGAAACUGUUUGGCUGCUCCCCACUCUGGCCUUGAUCUCCCUCACUCCUCACCAUGUGUAUAUAUAUACACAUUUCUUGUAACUGAAAGCUGCAAAAGCUUAGUGUUGGCUGGAAAAAGGACUCCACAGGUUGUGGAGCUGGCUUCUCUCUCUGCAGCUCUGCAGAGCAUGUACUCUGAGCCCCUGAUUUCUCUCUAACUGAUUUUUGGUGGCUUGUGGAGCUCUAGUUUGUUAACCUUAUUGCAGAGUCCUCUAGGCCUUACCUUCUGUUGUGCAUUCACUGCAUUAUUGUGCCUCUUUUGGCAGGUACAGCCGUGGGUGGCAGCCAUUGCAUCUAGGGUGACCGACCCCCUGCAGCGGUUGGACUGCCUCGCUGCCUCGUGGCAGCCUUCACUUCGUCGGGGAAGUGCUGGAGGCGCAGGUUGUGGAAAAGGUUGGCCUUGCCAUUCAUAGGCAAGACUCGUUUUCCAUAUUGGAAAGGCGGUGUUGCCAUUUCCUCUUAGAGAAAAGGGUUGCUAAUCAUGGUUCUCGGUUCGUCGGGCCGCUGGAGUUUGAGCCGAGAGACCGGUCUCUUUCGUGUGGUCUCCUUGCCCUUUUCGGCCAAGCCCAAGCUAACAAGAGGCCCAAUAUUAGUUUUCCCUUUGUGUUUUUUUUUUCUUUCUCCUUAUGUUGUAAUAGAGUAGUUUCUCUUUGGAAUCUCGCUUUUCUAUAACAUGUAUGCAUGUAAUACUAGUUGGUGUGUACCUUAUUUCAAGCAUUUAUUAGCCCGAAAUUCUUUAUAUUGUACUUAUUUUAUUCAAGAAAUAAAAUACUCUUUCAUUCUUUGUCAAA
Molecule: long non-coding RNA, 939 nt
Organism: Salvia splendens (bonfire salvia)
Lineage: Eukaryota; Viridiplantae; Streptophyta; Magnoliopsida; Lamiales; Lamiaceae
Exons: 2
Source: RefSeq, a predicted model, not a curated record